Non-coding RNA from Myotis davidii, 73 nucleotides. The record is from Rfam. Lineage: Eukaryota; Metazoa; Chordata; Mammalia; Chiroptera; Vespertilionidae.
GGCCAGGUAGCUCAGUUGGUUGGAGCACUGUCCUGAUACACCAAGGUUCUGGGUUCAAUUCCUAGUCAGGGCA